GAUGAACGCUGGCGGCGUGCCUAAUACAUGCAAGUCGAGCGAACGGACGAGAAGCUUGCUUUUCUGAGGUUGGCGGCGGACGGGUGAGUAACACGUGGAUAACCUACCUAUUAGACUGGGAUAACUUCGGGAAACCGGAGCUAAUACCGGCUAAUAUGUUGAACCGCAUGGUUCAAAAGUUAAAGACGCUCUUGCUGUCACUUAUAGACGGAUCCGCGCUGCAUUAGCUAGUUGGUAAGGUAACGGCUUACCAAGGCAACGAUGCAUAGCCGACCUGAGAGGAUGAUCGGCCACACUGGAACUGAGACACGGUCCAGACUCCUACGGGAGGCAGCAGUGGGGAAUAUUGCACAAUGGGCGCAAGCCUGACCGAGCAAUGCCGCGUGAGUGAAGAAGGUCUUCGGAUUGUAAAACUCUGUUGUUAGGAAAGAAAAUAAGCGUAAGUAAAUGUGCACGUCUUGACGGUACCCAAUGAGAAAGCCACGGCUAACUACGUG
Molecule: ribosomal RNA, 497 nt
Filed under: uncultured bacterium
Lineage: Bacteria
Description: partial 16S ribosomal RNA
Rfam family: Bacterial small subunit ribosomal RNA
Source: RNAcentral